Molecule: ribosomal RNA, 797 nt
Filed under: uncultured Glomus
Lineage: Eukaryota; Fungi; Glomeromycota; Glomeromycetes; Glomerales; Glomeraceae
Description: SSU rRNA
Rfam family: Eukaryotic small subunit ribosomal RNA
Source: RNAcentral
AUCAACUUUCGAUGGUAGGAUAGAGGCCUACCAUGGUGGUAACGGGUAACGGGGUGUUAGGGCACGACACCGGAGAGGGAGCCUGAGAAACGGCUACCACAUCCAAGGAUGGCAGCAGGCGCGCAAAUUACCCAAUCCCGACACGGGGAGGUAGUGACAAUAAAUAACAAUACUGGGUUCUUUCGGAUUUCGUAAUUGGAGUGAGUACAAUCUAAAUCUCUUAACGAGGAACAAUUGGAGAGCAAGUCUGGUGCCAGCAGCCGCGGUAAUUCCAGCUCCAAUAGCGUAUAUUAAAGUUGUUGCAGUUAAAAAGCUCGUAGUUGAAUUUCGGGACCAAUAUGUCGGUCGUGCCUCGGUACGCACUGGCUUAUUGGUUUCUCCCUUCUGAAGAACCAUGAUGUCUUUUAUUUGGUGUCGUGGGGAAUCAGGACUGUUACUUUGAAAAAAUUAGAGUGUUUAAAGCAGGCUCACGCUUGAAUACAUUAGCAUGGAAUAAUGAAAUAGGACGUUUGAUUCUAUUUUGUUGGUUUCUAGGAUCGACGUAAUGAUUAAUAGGGAUAGUUGGGGGCAUUAGUAUUCAAUUGUCAGAGGUGAAAUUCUUGGAUUUAUUGAAGACUAACUACUGCGAAAGCAUUUGCCAAGGAUGUCUUCAUUAAUCAAGAACGAAAGUUAGGGGAUCGAAGACGAUCAGAUACCGUCGUAGUCUUAACCAUAAACUAUGCCGACUAGGGAUCGGAUGAUGUUAAUUUUUUAAUGACUCAUUCGGCGCCUUACGGGAAACCAAAGUGUUUGGGUUC